This 413-nucleotide ribosomal RNA is filed under the name Escherichia coli. RNAcentral describes it as "partial 23S ribosomal RNA". It matches the Rfam family "Bacterial large subunit ribosomal RNA", at positions 1481 to 1874 of the family's 2925-position model. The record is from RNAcentral. Lineage: Bacteria; Pseudomonadati; Pseudomonadota; Gammaproteobacteria; Enterobacterales; Enterobacteriaceae.
GCUAUGUUGGCCGGGCGACGGUUGUCCCGGUUUAAGCGUGUAGGCUGGUUUUCCAGGCAAAUCCGGAAAAUCAAGGCUGAGGCGUGAUGACGAGGCACUACGGUGCUGAAGCAACAAAUGCCCUGCUUCCAGGAAAAGCCUCUAAGCAUCAGGUAACAUCAAAUCGUACCCCAAACCGACACAGGUGGUCAGGUAGAGAAUACCAAGGCGCUUGAGAGAACUCGGGUGAAGGAACUAGGCAAAAUGGUGCCGUAACUUCGGGAGAAGGCACGCUGAUAUGUAGGUGAAGCGACUUGCUCGUGGAGCUGAAAUCAGUCGAAGAUACCAGCUGGCUGCAACUGUUUAUUAAAAACACAGCACUGUGCAAACACGAAAGUGGACGUAUACGGUGUGACGCCUGCCCGGUGCCGGAA